RNAcentral lists this ribosomal RNA (482 nucleotides) under uncultured bacterium. RNAcentral's name for it is "SSU rRNA". It matches the Rfam family "Bacterial small subunit ribosomal RNA", at positions 26 to 518 of the family's 1533-position model. The record is from RNAcentral.
AGGACGAACGCUGGCGGCGUGCUUAACACAUGCAAGUCGAGCGAGGUCCAACUGGUGGCAACACCAGGGAAGACCGAGCGGCGAACGGGUGAGUAACACGUGAGCAACCUGUCCCGAAGACCGGGAUAACACCGGGAAACCGGUGCUAAUACCGGAUGUCCCCACCAGAUCACAUGGUUCGGUGAGGAAGUGGAUUCCGCUUCGGGAGGGGCUCGCGGGCUAUCAGCUUGUUGGUGGGGUAACGGCCCACCAAGGCUACGACGGCUAGCUGGUCUGAGAGGACGACCAGCCACACUGGGACUGAGACACGGCCCAGACUCCUACGGGAGGCAGCAGUGGGGAAUCUUGCGCAAUGGGCGAAAAGCCUGACGCAGCAACGCCGCGUGGGGAUGAAGGCUCUCGGGUUGUAAACCCCUUUCAGCAGGGACGAAAUUGACGGUACCUGCAGAAGAACGCCCGGCCAACUACGUGCCAGCAGCCGC